CAACUCAUUAUUGUGCUGCGUGAUUAUCUUAAUGGAGCUCCUACCCCACCGUUCUUUAAUUAGACUCGGCUCACCAGUUAGAUAAUACUGUUCCAGCCGCGUCUUCUUCUUCUUCGCGAAAAACCAAUCGAUAUUUGCUCCGCGUGUGUCAAGUGAAAGAAAGAAGUAGACUGUAACGUGAUAUUGAAACAGCGAGAUAAGAAUUACAUUAAAAAAAGUGUUCGCGUUGCAUUUUUCUUCAGUGAUACUCUAUUUUUGGAGGUAAACCAUUUUGUGCAAAAAAUUAAAGACUCUUCAACACCGGUCUAGUCUUGAUCGUUUACGGGAAUGUACAAUGACGUUCGUUGGAAUGUUCACGUGUGUUUCUCGAUAACUUCUUCGUUACGAUUCGCGUCUCACCAAUACGCAACUAGUUGCACGGUAUCUUGGCCUUGACUUUUAUGUUUAUCUUGAUGGAGGAACGGUUCUGGAAACUAUUUUCUAUACAAAGAUCAUUCGUAAUCCUGCUUUUCCUUCGUUCGAUUAAUCUAGCAUUUUCCAAACUUCCAUGGAUCAUUUUCGACAACGACCAUCUUUCCUGACCAACUCUACAUCCCAAAUUUUUCGUCCUUUUAUAAUAAAUAUUUCGACACCAAGUAAAAAUUAAAUAAAAAAUACCGCUUUAUUAUUGAUCCACAAUAAUAAGUGAUGGCCAUCCAUAUUUUGGAAAUUUUUAGAUCGACUAAUUUGCGAAUUCAUCGAUAUUUUAGAUAUUCUUCGCGAACAUUUUCAGUAACUUGAUCAGUUUUAUGUAAUUUGAAUGAUCGCGUUGUAUGACAAACAACAAACGGUAAACUUAGAUAAUAGUUGACCUUCGAUGUGCUUCAUACAAUGUCAUAUUACGAUCGAAGAUACUGAAACAAUUUUUUCCCGUUCAAUUUUUACCGUUCAAACUGAUACUUUCAAUAUGCGUCACAUUCCCGCCAUUUCUAUCGAGUUCGCGAUCUCGUGCGCAAUGAGGUAUCACGGUAAAUGUCACCUAUGCGCGAAUGACAAGAACGGGAUGACAAUAGCUUUUAGAAAAGUAUAGAGUGAUUCUUCCUAUUAUUCACACGAAAUAUCCGUUACCUGAGGAACGUCGACCGAAUCGAUGCAAUAAUUGUUAAUGAUUUGUCACAAUUGUUGGUUAUUAGAAUAACAACAUUGACACCAUUGUUCUUUCUUAAUAUACGAAGCGCGUACGAUAACCGCUAUUGGACACUGGAAACGGACGUUGUUAUUCUCGCCCUCCAAGUGAUUUUUGCGCCAUUUUCGAAAGAUUUUUAGGAACAAUCUUUUCUCCUAAUGAAAGCACACAGCACGAAACGUAUGCAUCGAAUUUAGAAAAUGUCUUACCGUACCAUAUAUGUAAUUUUGUAAAUAAACAGGUUAGCUGAUCGAUUGAUUCGUGUCACUUUAAUAACAUUUCACUCAAACAAGUAUUAACUUUUAUUCAAACGAUGACUCUUUGUGGAUCGUAAAUAUAUUUUAGUAGUUAAGAAAAACUUCUUGAUUUUGUAUUUACACUAUUAAUUAACAUUUAACUAUCUUUAAAUGGUGCUGCCACCUGUCCUUAUCCGUGACAUUUUUAAAAAUCAGAUAGAAACUUCAGUUUGUACCAUCAAAGACGGUCCUGAAACGUUCUUAACCUCGAUAAACUUUGUUCCUUCUCCAUGAAAGCAUAAACAUAUUUCUUCGAUAUACCGUUAAAAAUACAAAAUGACUGUAUGGGAGAGGUUGCGGAAUCCCUGUGGCUGGAGAGCUGGUGCUAAACAGAUUUCAGUCGAUGCGAUGAUACCGAUUUUUGCAGUCCCGACUUUGGCGGUGAUAGCCGCACAGACAGUGUUAUGUACUGUAAUUAUAUUUGUUGCAACGCCGAUAUUGGUGUACUAUUUACAUCAUAAUUUUCUGAGGUUCUUACUACGUACUAAAUUCUUUUUAAUGUGGACAAUCACUAGCGUUAUCAUGUUGAUGCUAAUCUUUGAAAUAAGCGUUGUACCAUUGUUAGAAAUAUUACCAGAAGAGAAUGUAGUGUUUAUCAUUUGUGUUGUGGGAGGCAUAUGGUGUGGCUAUGUAACUAAAGUAAAUGCUGAUUCCGCUACUCAGGAGAGUACUCUUUUGCAAGGCUUGGAACUCGGUGAAGGAAGCGGAGAGCUUUGCAUUACGUGUAGAAGAAGAGCACCUCCUAAAGCACAUCAUUGUAGGAUGUGUCAAACUUGUAUUCUCAAUAGGGAAUAUCAUUGCAAAUGGCUGGAUUGUUGUAUAGGUUCAAGCAACUUAAAGUGGUAUCUGGCAUGUUUACUCUUCUCUGCUAUAGCUUUCAUCUAUGGUUCUAAUUUAACUAUGACUAGCGUUUGUCAUCCUUUCAUAGUUAUUGGCACUAUCCUUUUACCAGAUGAUUGCAGCGACGUGUACCAUCAAUUGGACAUUGCCCUUUGCUUCGUCUCUGCUCUCUACAGCUUGCUCGUUGGGCUAGUGGUAGUUUGUUAUUUAAUAUAUCAUCUUUGGUUAAUUUACCUUGGCACAACAUCGAACGAACGUCGCCUUCUUGAAGCUGGAAGCCAGUAUGACCAUGGGAUGUUGAAAAAUGUGUCUCGAUUGUUUUGCUGCAAAACUUAGUUAUUAUUAAAAUAUUAUUAAAUUUACUUUGUACGGAAGACGAUACUUUGCUCUCUUUAAAGGGUAUUAGAAAAAAUCCGUCAUAACGCAGUGAGAUACUUAAUACUCUUAAAAUAUUAUUAAUAAUGUUAAGCUUAGUAAAACCAUACCAUGAUCUGUAUAAACGCGCUGACUUCGGUUAAAAUAUUAAUUAUUUAUAAUUCACUAUCAAGCACAAUUGUAUAUUUAUUGUAACUGUGAUAAAGUGGCCAUUGUACAACUAAUAUAAUAAAUUGUAUUGAUCGAUUACAGUA
Molecule: unclassified non-coding RNA, 2930 nt
Filed under: Megachile rotundata (alfalfa leafcutting bee)
Lineage: Eukaryota; Metazoa; Arthropoda; Insecta; Hymenoptera; Megachilidae
Description: palmitoyltransferase ZDHHC23, transcript variant X4
Source: RNAcentral